RNAcentral lists this ribosomal RNA (253 nucleotides) under uncultured bacterium. RNAcentral's name for it is "partial 16S ribosomal RNA". It matches the Rfam family "Bacterial small subunit ribosomal RNA", at positions 524 to 776 of the family's 1533-position model. The record is from RNAcentral.
UACGUAGGGAGCAAGCGUUGUUCGGAUUUACUGGGCGUAAAGGGCGCGUAGGCGGCAAUUCAAGUCAGCUGUGAAAUCUCCGGGCUUAACUCGGAACGGUCAGCUGAUACUGCUUUGCUAGAGUGCAGAAGGGGCAACUGGAAUUCUCGGUGUAGCGGUGAAAUGCGUAGAUAUCGAGAGGAACACCUGCGGCGAAGGCGGGUUGCUGGGCUGACACUGACGCUGAGGCGCGAAAGCCAGGGGAGCGAACGGG